Molecule: ribosomal RNA, 278 nt
Filed under: uncultured Lachnospiraceae bacterium
Lineage: Bacteria; Bacillati; Bacillota; Clostridia; Lachnospirales; Lachnospiraceae
Description: partial 16S ribosomal RNA
Rfam family: Bacterial small subunit ribosomal RNA
Source: RNAcentral
UUUGAUUUCUUCGGAAUGAAGAUUUUGUGACUGAGUGGCGGACGGGUGAGUAACGCGUGGGUAACCUGCCUCAUACAGGGGGAUAACAGUUGGAAACGACUGCUAAUACCGCAUAAGCGCACAGGGUCACAUGACUUGGUGUGAAAAACUCCGGUGGUACAGGAUGGUCCCGCGUCUGAUUAGCCAGUUGGCAGGGUAACGGCCUACCAAAGCGACGAUCAGUAGCCGGCCUGAGAGGGUGAACGGCCACAUUGGGACUGAGACACGGCCCAAACUCC